Molecule: ribosomal RNA, 484 nt
Filed under: uncultured bacterium
Lineage: Bacteria
Description: partial 16S ribosomal RNA
Rfam family: Bacterial small subunit ribosomal RNA
Source: RNAcentral
GACGAACGCUGGCGGCGUGCUUAACACAUGCAGGUCGAACCAUGAAUCUGGAGCUUGCUCCAGUGGAUUAGUGGCGAACGGGUGAGUAACACGUGAGCAAUCUGCCCUUGACUCUGGGAUAACUGCAGGAAACUGUAGCUAAUACCGGAUACUUUCACUGGAAGGCAUCUUCUGGUGAAGAAAGAAUUUCGGUCAAGGAUGAGCUCGCGGCCUAUCAGCUUGUUGGUGAGGUAACGGCUCACCAAGGCGACGACGGGUAGCCGGCCUGAGAGGGUGCCCGGCCCCACUGGGACUGGGACACGGCGCGGACCCCUACGGGAGGGAGCAGUGGGGAAUAUUGCACAAUGGGCGAAAGCCUGAUGCAGCAACGCCGCUUGAGGGAUGUAGGCCUUCGGGUUGUAAACCUCUUGUAGCAGGGAAGAAGCGAAAGUGGCGGUACCUGCAGAAAAAGCACCGGCUAACUACGUGCCAGCCGCCGCCGUAA